GACGAACGCUGGCGGCGUGCUUAACACAUGCAAGUCGAACGGAAAGGCCCUGCUUGCAGGGUGCUCGAGUGGCGAACGGGUGAGUAACACGUGGGUGAUCUGCCCCUUACUUUGGGAUAAGCCUGGGAAACUGGGUCUAAUACUGGAUAGGACCAUGCUGUAGGUGGUGUGGUGGAAAGAUUAGUUUCGGUAAGGGAUGAGCUCGCGGCCUAUCAGCUUGUUGGUGGGGUAAUGGCCUACCAAGGCGUCGACGGGUAGCCGGCCUGAGAGGGUGGACGGCCACAUUGGGACUGAGAUACGGCCCAGACGUCUACGGGAGGCAGCAGUGGGGAAUAUUGCACAAUGGGCGCAAGCCUGAUGCAGCGACGCCGCGUGGGGGAUGACGGCCUUCGGGUUGUAAACUCCUUUCAGCCAUGACGAAGCCCUUGUGGUGACGGUAGUGGUAGAAGAAGCACCGGCUAACUACGUG
RNAcentral lists this ribosomal RNA (469 nucleotides) under uncultured bacterium. RNAcentral's name for it is "partial 16S ribosomal RNA". It matches the Rfam family "Bacterial small subunit ribosomal RNA", at positions 28 to 507 of the family's 1533-position model. The record is from RNAcentral.